AGAACAAUGUAUCUUAUUUACACAGACUAAUAUCUAAACAAAUGUAUUGUAAUUUAAAGACCCAAUGCUGUGCGAAUUAUUGCUGUGGCUCUGGUAUACACUCAGACACACACCUCUAACAAUAAGGAGCUGCUAGAAAAGAGGGACAUUAUGAUACAAAAGAGGGACAGAGGGACUUGGGUUCAAAAGACGUACUGUCCCUCCUAAAUAGGGACCGUGGAUUUAUGUGAUUUUACAUUUUUACAAAGGUGUUAAUGGAAUAAGGACUCUACAUCAAAGAGAUAUUUUAUAAAACUUGUUCUUAAACAUAUGGGUUGUAACCACGGCCUUUUAUGUAGCCAUGUAAUGUAGAGAUGAUAUGUAACACAUCCUCACUAUCCUUUUAAAGACAGAAUAUCUUUUCAGGCCAUACACACAGUAUUCAGGUUUGAAUUUUGACCUAUCGCCUUGUUCCUUACUCAUUACUUGUGUUUGUGCUUCUUUGGUUGCCUUUCAAUAAUUUCUGAUUGUUAGAGAGUGUUUACAGAUGUUGAUCUUAUGAUGGAUCAUGUUGUACAUGUCUACAGUAUCGUUAUCUAAAAGUACAGUCAAACAGAUUAGUCUCUAUAUUCAGCUGUUAGAACAUACAAAUAUGUUCCCAUGCCUACUGUAUUGUUUUCAAUAGUAUAUUUACUUGAUACAUACUAAAAUGGAUAUUGCUAUAACUGUCAUAUCUACUGAGACGCUCCUCUCCCCACACCCCUUUCUAUCUUUCAUACAAUGACAUUUUAUUUCACAGUACUUUGUGUUGCUAAAGUACUUCCCACAUUAUUACAUCAUUACAGAAUUCCAGAAUGCUGCUUUUCUAAAAUCCUGCUCUUGCUAUUACUGUAAACCAACAGAAAACAGAAAUUGAGUGAUCCAUGCAAUAUUUUCUCCUAGAAUUGUUGUUAUUGUCUCCAUUGUAACAGGAGAUUUUGCUGACACCGCUGAACACCAGAAACUAGAUACUGCACAGCUCUUUCUUGAAGUAAAAGCUAUUUACCUAAAAGGUUCGUUUGGGGAGUAAUGUGCUCUUGUUUUUGGUCCAUAGAAAAUGAUACUCUUUAGAUGUUUUGUCCUGCCUGAGCUGUUGUCCUAUAUUGAACAGAAAUUAUGCUGUACUGCCCCAGAGAGAUUUAAGCAAAGCAUUUACCUGUAAUGUUCCGCUCACCAUCCAUUUCUCUAAUGAACAAUGUAUCGCCACCCACCUAACUGCUGUUGCCUAGAUGAAUUCUGUUGAUAAUCGACACACCAGCACAGUUACAUUAUCUUAACGUUUGUUUCCUGCCUUCUGCUGAUUUAUACCAUGCUGCUCGAUUUUACAAUUCUAAAACUGAAUUUAAUAAGUAUGUCUUACUAAUGUAACAAUAUCAAAGACAGAACAGUCUGAGGAAAGAUAUCUUCAUAUAGAUUCACCUAGUCCAUCUAUUUUAUGGAAAAAGCAGGUAUCCUCAUCUCUUGUUCAUAGAAUUUGUGUUCUAGCUGUAGCAGUAGCAAUGAAUUACAACCAGUUUUGGAUAGCAGUUUGGAUAUGUAUCAGCUUACUCUCUACUUGUCAUUUUCUCUGACUGGAAGAGAGAUGGAGGAAGAGAUACUGGUGUCAGUACUUGCCUUUCUACCCCUUUCUACCCCAAGCACCCAGUUCUAGACACUUUGUCAUCCGUCACAAACCUAGUAAUGAUUGGUAAAUAAUCUUAUAGCCUGUAGUGACUUUAGCUUUAUUCCUGG
This is a non-coding RNA of Pelobates cultripes (western spadefoot toad), 1749 nucleotides long. NCBI's taxonomy places the organism in Eukaryota, Metazoa, Chordata, Amphibia, Anura, Pelobatidae. The record is from the annotation of a GenBank genome assembly.